This 460-nucleotide ribosomal RNA is filed under the name uncultured bacterium. RNAcentral's name for it is "partial 16S ribosomal RNA". It matches the Rfam family "Bacterial small subunit ribosomal RNA", at positions 338 to 795 of the family's 1533-position model. The record is from RNAcentral.
CCUACGGGUGGCAGCAGUGAGGAAUAUUGGUCAAUGGCCGGAAGGCUGAACCAGCCAUGCCGCGUGAAGGUCAGUGCCCUAUGGGCGUUAAACUUCUUUUGUGCGGGAGCAAUAAUGGUCACGUGUGGCCAGACGAGAGUACCGUACGAAUAAGCAUCGCCUAACUCCGUGCCAGCAGCCGCGGUAAUACGGGGGAUGCAAGCGUUAUCCGGAUUGAGUGGGUUUAAAGGGUUCGUAGGCUGUGAGGUAAGUCAGCGGGGAAAUGCCCCCGCUCAACGGGGUGAAGUGCCAUUGAUACUGCCUUGCUGGAAUGCGGAUGCCGUGGGAGGAAUGUGUGGUGUAGCGGUGAAAUGCAUAGAUAUCACACAGAACACCGAUUGCGAAGGCAUCUCACGAAUCCGCGAUUGACGCUGAUGCACGAAAGCGUGGGUAUCAAACAGGAUUAGAUACCCUAGUAGUC